Molecule: long non-coding RNA, 773 nt
Organism: Dicentrarchus labrax (European seabass)
Lineage: Eukaryota; Metazoa; Chordata; Actinopteri; Moronidae
Exons: 4
Source: RefSeq, a predicted model, not a curated record
AGACAGUUCAGACCAAGAGAACAAGAGACAGAGAAUCACGAUGGUUGAGAUCAAAUGGUUUAAAAUCUCUUUACUUCUGAUGGUGGUGCUUCAGUAUAGUAACUUCCUUACUUACUGUGAUUAAGCGGUACCUUGGAGGUUGGGGGAUCGUCAUUUUGUCAAUUCAGUUUGUGGGUGUAGUAGCACUCAUAAUAACUGUUGUGGCAGUCAACAUAUGGACAAAAACUAAAGGGAAACAAAUGCAGACGGAUGAAAAUAUGGUGGAUAAUGAUGAAGAUGAUGGUACAGUGAACUAUGAAAACACCAGAUCUUCUGAUGUCUGACGGAAACUUCAGCCUCCAUCAGACUCCACUGAUCAACAACUUCUACAUCAACAUCAACUCAACUCGUUUUAAAUGAGUAGAUUGUAAAUACAAAAAAUCUUAAGGUUAUUUUGAGAAACGUAAUAUUUUGUUUUAGUCUUUUCCUGCAUCAGUUGGAUUUUAAUUGAACUGAAAACAGGAUUCAGCUCUUUUUUAACUUCCUUAAAUUUGCUUCUGACCAAAUAAUUUAGUUUUGAUUUUAAGACUAACUAAUGAAUUUCAAAGCAGCUUGAGCUCAGUUUUAUGUUUAAUUUCUUUAAAUUAACCUAGUAUUUGUGUUAACAUAUUUGUUAGAGUCCAGUAGGUGUUUGGCUUAUUUUGAGUCUUAAAGUUUGUUUGUUUUUAACAGUUUGUCUUUAUUACAUUUGAUAAUUAUAUAAUAUGCAAAUAAAGAAGGAGUUUAACACUCAA